UUUUUGUUUCUGAUCAUCGUUUUUGUUUGCCCGGGCUUUUAUGGAUGCAUUGGUUGCCCUGUGCAACCUCUCCGCCAGUCGUUUUGGAGUCCGUGUUCUUCGAUCGAAUCCUCUCACACAAAUGAAUCCUACAAAACAAUAGGGUAUCUGCAAGAAAUUCGUUCAUAUAUUUUGGUAGUUUUGCAAAUUAGUCAAAUAAUAACUGGUUAGUUUGCUUUUUCACUUACCAAAAUUGUUCCACGGACUGCUCCACUAUUUUGUUCCCUGAUAAUGUUGCAUGAUGAACAUGAUCCCUCGGUACAAAUUUCUCCCGUUUCUCGGUACACGCAUCUUGUAUUCGGUGGCUCACAUGAAUCUACAGUUUCACCUGAAAACAUUGAUUUUUACAUCUUAAGCGCUGGAUAUCCCUAAUCAUUGGAAAUUGGACUUGUAUCCCUAAUAAAAUUGACGUAUUGAGAUUUGCACGUUUACAGAUUACAGAUUUCAUAUAUGUAUAUGAAUAGAUUACAUUGUGCAGCAAGCAGUACCUGGUGAUAAUAUACACAAAAGGCGUUCUAUAUGCUUUAGUUUGCGCAACGGGGCAGAAGCGACUCUUGUGUGCAAAGGAACCAAAGCUUUAGUGAUGGUAUCGUCCACGCAGUUCAGUGAAGUUGUUGUAAACUGUCCGGAGCUAAGUCUGAUUAUAGGAACAUCAUCAGAAUCAUACUCAUAUAAAUCUUCAAUAUCUGUCAAUUGGGAUUCAUCAUGUGCAGGCUCAGGUGAUGGAGGCGCUUCAAUGAUGGGUUCACAAUUGUUGGUUGCUUCUGAAAAUGGAUUGGCAUCGAUAUGAAGUACUGAUGCUGAAUUCAUCGCCUGUGUAUUGCCUUCAAAACUUUUUUCCGGGGCCAUUGUGCUUACUAUUCCUUUUUCUUGCGGUCCAGGUAAGGCCAACCUUGCACUAUUUUAAUUUAUAGGAACUCAGCUAGAGAAGACAAUCGUGAAAUCUCUAUAUUUUUCACACAAACUCACAACACAUGGCUUCCAUUAAUUGCUUUUUACUCGUUUUGAACUUUUUCACCACAAAAUCAACAUUUUGACAUGGACAAAGAAAAAUGUAAUGUCAGAACGGUUACAAAAGAAAACAAGAAUGAGUUUUCGAUCCUUCCAAAUAUCUUUUUAUGCACAACAAUAUAUAUAAAUGUGCUUUGUUUAUGACAUAAAAUUCAUACCUUGCAUAUGCACUAGCGUAAUGCCGACAAUCUGCCCUUAGUGGACAAGCAUUGCAGUUAGGUUUCCUCUUUGUGCAAAAGACCUGCAGAUAGAUAAAUGUUCAAGGUUACCGAACUUUUCUUUAUGAAUGAGAAUUUAAAUAACCGGUGCCUUCGUUGCCGGCAGCCAUAGCUCAUUUUCACUAACAAGCACAACUCCAACACUUUCAAUAGAGAAACCUCAUGUAUGAAGGUUUGGAGAAAGAAUGACGAAAUUGAAUUUGGGUUUGAGAGUUCUUUUCGAAACAACAACUUCUGGAGAAGGACUUGUAGAAAACGGCCGUCGGGGAUGAUGGGUUCCGGCGACCUGACCGGCUGGGUUAGGGAGAAAGAGAGAGAUUAAAUAUUUUUUUAAAAAAACUAGUAUUUUAAUUGUUGUUAUUCCAUUUCUAAUAAUAAAAUUAGAGAUGUUUUAAACUAA
Long non-coding RNA from Cucumis melo (muskmelon), 1668 nucleotides. RefSeq lists it as uncharacterized. NCBI's taxonomy places the organism in Eukaryota, Viridiplantae, Streptophyta, Magnoliopsida, Cucurbitales, Cucurbitaceae. The transcript is spliced from 4 exons. The record is from RefSeq and is a predicted model, not a curated record.